GACGAACGCUGGCGGCGUGCCUAAUACAUGCAAGUUGAGCGAUGAAGAUUGGUGCUUGCACCAAUUUGAAGAGCAGCGAACGGGUGAGUAACGCGUGGGGAAUCUGCCUUUGAGCGGGGGACAACAUUUGGAAACGAAUGCUAAUACCGCAUAACAACUUUAAACAUAAGUUUUAAGUUUGAAAGAUGCAAUUGCAUCACUCAAAGAUGAUCCCGCGUUGUAUUAGCUAGUUGGUGAGGUAAAGGCUCACCAAGGCGAUGAUACAUAGCCGACCUGAGAGGGUGAUCGGCCACAUUUGGACUGGAGCACGGCCCAAACUCCUACGGGAGGCAGCAGUAGGGAAUCUUCGGCAAUGGACGAAAGUCUGACCGAGCAACGCCGCGUGAGUGAAGAAGGUUUUCGGAUCGUAAAACUCUGUUGGUAGAGAAGAACGUUGGUGAGAGUGGAAAGCUCAUCAAGUGACGGUAACUACACAGAAAGGGACGGCUAACUACGUG
RNAcentral lists this ribosomal RNA (497 nucleotides) under uncultured bacterium. RNAcentral describes it as "partial 16S ribosomal RNA". It matches the Rfam family "Bacterial small subunit ribosomal RNA", at positions 28 to 507 of the family's 1533-position model. The record is from RNAcentral.